RNAcentral lists this unclassified non-coding RNA (24 nucleotides) under Mus musculus (house mouse). RNAcentral's name for it is "oocyte_clustered_small_RNA11737". The record is from RNAcentral. Lineage: Eukaryota; Metazoa; Chordata; Mammalia; Rodentia; Muridae.
UACUCAAGAGACAGGCAGUCUUCA